GAUGAAGAACGCAGCGAAAUGCUAUAAGUAAUGUGAAUUGCAGAAUUCAGUGAAUCAUCGAAUCUUUGAACGCACCUUGCGCCCUUUGGCCAUUCCGAAGGGCAUGCCUGUUUGAGUAUCAUGAACACCUCAACUCUUCAUGGUUUUCCAUGAUGAGCUUGGACUUUGGGGGUCUUGCUGGCCUGUGGGUCGGCUCCUCUCAAAUGAAUCAGCUUGCCGGUUUUUGGUGGGCAUCACAGGUGUGAUAACUAUCUACGCUUGUGGUUUUCCACCAGGGUAACCUUCAGCAGUGGAGGUUCACUGGAGCUUACAAAUGUCUCUCCUCUGUGAGGACAGCCCUUUGAAUGUUUGAUCUCAAAUCAGGUAGGACUACCCGCUGAACUUAAGCAUAUCAAUAAGCGGAGGA
Molecule: unclassified non-coding RNA, 406 nt
Filed under: soil metagenome
Description: partial contains 5.8S ribosomal RNA, internal transcribed spacer 2, and large subunit ribosomal RNA
Rfam family: 5.8S ribosomal RNA (bases 1-121)
Source: RNAcentral